This 228-nucleotide long non-coding RNA is filed under the name Coffea arabica (coffee). RNAcentral describes it as "long non-coding RNA (CARA_LNC000784)". Lineage: Eukaryota; Viridiplantae; Streptophyta; Magnoliopsida; Gentianales; Rubiaceae. The record is from RNAcentral.
AAGACUGUGAAGCAAGUGGCCCUCCAGGAAAGCUACUAGUACUGCUUGAGAUCACCUCAUCAUGCAAGUUAUUUUGAUCUCCACUCCUAAGCAGCUCAGCAUACUGAAGAAUAUGACGAUACUCGUGAGGAGGAGGAAAUGAUCGAUUAGAAUGAGAAUGAGAAACUUGCUGAUCGGCUACAACUCGGGCGUCUUGGCGAGUUGUAAGAUAACCAUACUCACUUUUCC